Molecule: long non-coding RNA, 808 nt
Organism: Dreissena polymorpha
Lineage: Eukaryota; Metazoa; Mollusca; Bivalvia; Myida; Dreissenidae
Exons: 3
Source: RefSeq, a predicted model, not a curated record
GUUUGGAUAUGCCAAUGUGUUAUCAGCUUCUCUUCACAUGUUUAUUUUAUCGCUGUUUAAGGCUUGCAGUGCUCGAAGAAAGACAAGCUGUGCUUGAAAAAACACAAGAAAUUGUCCGAAAGAAGAGUCGCUUCGCUUGAAGGAAAAAUUGCAUUAUGCAAUAGAAGAAUAAAGAUACGCUUGACAUUGUAAAGAAACUGUAUGCGAGAAAAGUCAAGCUUGAAAUCGACAAGAUGCUACCUGACACAACCGCCACAACGAACGGAUACGACAAGACUCUGUAUGACAGUGGUGUCGCCUCCAUUUUGUAGGACAAGAUACUAUCUGACAGAAAAAUCGCCACGCUCGAGAACGAUACUGCAGUAUCACCCAACCGGAGUGGAAAAGAUGAAAGUUUCUCUGCUGCAGUUGAAAUUGCAGAUUGGUCAACUGCUGUAAUUCAAUCCAAACACAGACGGGUUUGUAGCAUUUUCCGUUAUGAAAGACGCUCAUCAGGACCACAUCGGCGUUAAUCAGAACAUCAUAUUUGAGCAGGUUGUUACAAAUGAAGGAGGCGGGUACCAUUGACGAUUAUGGGUUUCACUAAUCGGGAGGUUUUUGCUGCCAUGGUUCAUAACGGACACGUUGUCGCGAAAAUUUACGCUCACGGGGUCAGUGGACUAGAACAAGGCAGUCAAGCGUUUGUCAUAAAGGUUAAUGCUGGUGAUGAAGUUGCGGUUCGACAUAAUGACAAUGCAGACACUUUUAUAUGGAGUAAUCUGUUUUCGUCGUUCAGUGGCUAUUUAGUAUUGCUGCAAUAAAAAAGAUU